AUGUUUUAAUGAAUAUUAAUAUUAAAUUUGCCCUGCCCAAUGAUUAAUGUUUUAAUGGCCGCAGUAAAUUGACUGUGCAAAGGUAGCAUAAUAAUUUGUCUUUUAAUUGAGGACUGGAAUGAAUGGGUGGACGUAAAAAUUUCUGUCUCUAUUUUUAUGUAAUUGAAUUUUACUUUUAAGUUAAAAGGCUAAUUGUAUAAUUAAAUAUUAUUAAGGGACGAAAAGACCCUAUCAAGUUUUAUAAUAUUUAAAUAAUUAUUUUCAUUAUUAAUUUUUAUUAUUAUUUUUCUGGGGUGGAAUUAAUAUAAAACUAUUAAAAAUUUUAUAAUUUAAUAAUUUAUUAUUGAUCUUUUUUAUUACUAAUUAAUAAAUUACUGUAGGGGUAACAGCAUAAUUAUUUUGGUAAGUUCAAAUUUAUAAAAUAGAUUAUGACCUCGAUGUUGGAUUAAAUUUACCUAAAAAUUAAUGAAGAAGUUAUUAAGGUUAGUCUGUU
Molecule: ribosomal RNA, 493 nt
Filed under: Ammothea longispina
Lineage: Eukaryota; Metazoa; Arthropoda; Pycnogonida; Pantopoda; Ammotheidae
Description: partial 16S ribosomal RNA
Source: RNAcentral